AGAAUCAACGCUGGCGGCGUGCCUAACACAUGCAAGUCGAACGAGAAAGUGGAGCAAUCCAUGAGUAAAGUGGCGACCGGGUGAGUAACACGUGACUAACCUACCUUCGAGUGGGGGAUAACCUCGGGAAACCGAGGCUAAUACCGCAUAACAUCGCAAGAUCAAAGCAGCAAUGCGCUGGAAGAGGGGGUCGCGGCUGAUUAGCUAGUUGGCGGGUAACGCCCACAAGGCGAAGAUCGGUAGCCGGCCUGAGAGGGCGCACGGCCACACUGGAACUGAAACACGGUCCAGACUCCUACGGGAGGCAGCAGUGGGAAUUUUGCGCAAUGGGGGAAACCCUGACGCAGCAACGCCGCGUGGAGGAUGAAGCCCUUGGGGCGUAAACUCCUUUCGACCAAGACGAUAAUGACGGUACUGGUGGAAGAAGCACCGGCUAACUCUGUGCCAGCAGCCGC
RNAcentral lists this ribosomal RNA (455 nucleotides) under uncultured bacterium. RNAcentral describes it as "SSU rRNA". It matches the Rfam family "Bacterial small subunit ribosomal RNA", at positions 26 to 518 of the family's 1533-position model. The record is from RNAcentral.